RNAcentral lists this ribosomal RNA (256 nucleotides) under uncultured bacterium. RNAcentral's name for it is "partial 16S ribosomal RNA". It matches the Rfam family "Bacterial small subunit ribosomal RNA", at positions 524 to 776 of the family's 1533-position model. The record is from RNAcentral.
UACGUAGGGGGCAAGCGUUGUCCGGAAUCAUUGGGCGUAAAGAGCGUGUAGGCGGUUUGGUAGGUCCGCUGUGAAAACUCGAGGCUCAACCUCGAGACGUCGGUUGAAACCGUAUGGCUAGAGUCCGGAAGAGGAGAGUGGAAUUCCCGGUGUAGCGGUGAAAUGCGCAGAUAUCGGGAAGAACACCCGUGGCGAAGGCGGCUCUCGUGGGACGGUACUGACGCGUGAGACGGCGAAAGCGUGGGGAGCGAACAGG